Molecule: long non-coding RNA, 670 nt
Organism: Malus domestica (apple)
Lineage: Eukaryota; Viridiplantae; Streptophyta; Magnoliopsida; Rosales; Rosaceae
Source: RefSeq, a predicted model, not a curated record
CAAUAGCAUCUCUCUCUCUCUCCCUCUCUCUCUCUCCCUCUCUCUCUCUCUCUCCUACCUUCCUUUCACUCAUUUUUGACACCUUCUCAUCCAAGCAAACAACAAAAUUUUCUCAGAUGCAUGCAAGGACAAGGUGGAUAUGAAGAGGCCGCGAUCGGAACGAACCACUUCAGGGACAGGAGCGGGAUCCGGAGCUACCGGGCGACGAGGAUCACAACUGCAGAUGGCCCUGCUUUCCAAAUUCACGCUUAAAAGUGUGCUAAGCCCCAUUGAAAGCAUAAGCAUACAGUUUUGCGAGAGUAGAAAACUAUCUUUAUUUCCAGUCAUCAUGUCUUCUUCAUUCUCAGAGUUAAAAGAUAGCAAAACGACAGAUCAAGAGCAUUGUUAACCUUCGAGUAGUGAGUGUCCAAGUCUACAGCCGCCCUUUGCUCAGGAGUCUUUGCCCUUAAAAAACGGACAGCAAUGGAUAUUGUUUGCCGGUCAAGCUGAAAAAUAUUGAACAUAUCAGUGACAACCAACUUCAACUGUAACCUGAAGUACAGUUUCUAGUUCAUGGGGAGUGGGAACAACGUUAAAGGUAAAUUUUAUACAACAAUGACAUGUUAUGUACAAAGCUACAAACCCUUGGUAAACAUUCGAAACCUCCUCCGGUCACAUUAAGCAAAGCCAA